This is a long non-coding RNA of Cololabis saira (Pacific saury), 510 nucleotides long. RefSeq lists it as uncharacterized. The transcript has 3 exons. NCBI's taxonomy places the organism in Eukaryota, Metazoa, Chordata, Actinopteri, Beloniformes, Belonidae. The record is from RefSeq and is a predicted model, not a curated record.
UCUGAUGGAAGCUGGAGUGAUUAUGACUGUGGGGUGCCCGAAUUUUUCAUCUGCAACAAUGGAACACCGGAGGAACCCGAAUUUGUUCUUGUGAAUGAGACGAAAAGUUGGCCCAAAGCUAAGAGUUACUGCAGGGAACACUUUGUAGACCUGGCCACGGUGAGGAACGACGUGGAGAAUCAGGCGCUCUCCAGCUUGAUACCGUUGGGAUACUGGGCUUGGAUCGGUCUGCAUAGAGAUGGAACUUUCUACUGGUCUGACGAGAACAUCUUCAACUUCGCAAACUGGGAUGGAGUUGUAAAUCCAUUAAACUCAACGAGUGUCUUAUGCGGUGCUACGUUACACCCAAGAUCCGGAAAAUGGAGGCUUCUUUCCUGUGAAAGAAAAUUACCAUUUGCCUGUUACAGUUAUCCCAUACCAGAUAAGAACCAGUGGGUGAAGCUGAGACUGAAGGUGGAGGACUCUGUGGACGUGAAGGAUCCUGCUGUGGAAGCAGAGCUCCUGAAACAG